UACGGAGGGGGUUAGCGUUGUUCGGAAUUACUGGGCGUAAAGCGCGCGUAGGCGGACAUUUAAGUUAGAGGUGAAAUCCCAGGGCUCAACCCUGGAACUGCCUUUAAUACUGGGUGUCUUGAGUUCGAGAGAGGUGAGUGGAAUUCCGAGUGUAGAGGUGAAAUUCGUAGAUAUUCGGAGGAACACCAGUGGCGAAGGCGGCUCACUGGCUCGAUACUGACGCUGAGGUGCGAAAGCGUGGGGAGCAAAC
This 250-nucleotide ribosomal RNA is filed under the name uncultured bacterium. RNAcentral describes it as "partial 16S ribosomal RNA". It matches the Rfam family "Bacterial small subunit ribosomal RNA", at positions 524 to 773 of the family's 1533-position model. The record is from RNAcentral.